Molecule: ribosomal RNA, 497 nt
Filed under: uncultured bacterium
Lineage: Bacteria
Description: partial 16S ribosomal RNA
Rfam family: Bacterial small subunit ribosomal RNA
Source: RNAcentral
GACGAACGCUGGCGGCGUGCCUAAUACAUGCAAGUAGAACGCUGAAGGAAGGAGCUUGCUCUUUCUGGAUGAGUUGCGAACGGGUGAGUAACGCGUAGGUAACCUGCCUGGUAGCGGGGGAUAACUAUUGGAAACGAUAGCUAAUACCGCAUAAAAUUGAUUAUUGCAUGAUAGUCAAUUAAAAGGUGCAACUGCACCACUACCAGAUGGACCUGCGUUGUAUUAGCUAGUUGGUGGGGUAACGGCUCACCAAGGCGACGAUACAUAGCCGACCUGAGAGGGUGAUCGGCCACACUGGGACUGAGACACGGCCCAGACUCCUACGGGAGGCAGCAGUAGGGAAUCUUCGGCAAUGGACGGAAGUCUGACCGAGAAACGCCGCGUGAGUGAAGAAGGAUUUCGGGUCGUAAAGCUCUGUUGUAAGAGAAGAACGAGUGUGAGAGUGGAAAGUUCACACUGUGACGGUAUCUUACCAGAAAGCGACGGCUAACUACGUG